RNAcentral lists this long non-coding RNA (1409 nucleotides) under Oncorhynchus kisutch (coho salmon). Its description in RNAcentral is "lncRNA (ENSOKIG00005017812.1)". The record is from RNAcentral. Lineage: Eukaryota; Metazoa; Chordata; Actinopteri; Salmoniformes; Salmonidae.
GAGAGAGAGAGAAAUAAAAGGAGAGAGAGAGAGAAAAGGAGAGAUACAUUUAAGGAGAGAGAGAGGGAGAGAUAAAGAAAAGGAGAGAGAGAGAGAGAGAGAGAGAGAGAGAGAGAGAGAGAGAGAGAGAGAGAGAAAGAAAAGGAGAGCAAGAGGAAGAGAGAGAGAGAGAGAGAGAGAAUAAAAGGAGAGAGAGAGAAAUAAAAGGAGAGAGAGAGAGAAAAGGAGAGAUAAAGAAAAGGAGAGAGAGAGAUAAAGAAAAGGAGAGAGAGAGAGAGAGAGAGAGAGAGAGAGAAAAGGAAAGAAAUUGAAGGAGAGAGAGAGACAGAGAGAGAAAAGGAGAGCGAGAGAGAGAGAGAGACAGAGAGAGAGAAAAGGAGAGAAAUUGAAGGAGAGAGAGAGACAGAGAGAGAAAAGGAGAGCGAGAGAGAGAAAAAAGGAGAGAGAGAGAGAGGGAGAGGAAAGGAGGGAGAGAGAGAAAUAAAAGGAGAGAGAGCACACGCAGCAUAUGCGUGCUUCACUCCGCUCUAUGCUUAGGAGGAGCUUCAGGAUUUUCACUUGUUUCCGUGCAACAUCUCAUUUGAAGACUCGUUUACCAAGGAGCCUUUUCUCUCAGACGGGGGAAAGGUAUCUGGACUUCCCAGCUGACUGACAGACCCUGCAAUGUUGUCUUCCCUACCAUUAGACUGAAUGACCAGACCAGACCAGGCAGUGUUGUCGUCCCUACCAGUAGACUGAAUGACCAGACCAGACCAGGCAGUGUUGUCGUCCCUACCAGUAGACUGAAUGACCAGACCAGACCAGGCAGUGUUGUCUUCCCUACCAGUAGACUGAAUGACCAGACCAGACCAGGCAGUGUUGUCUUCCCUACCAGUAGUCUGAAUGACCAGACCAGACCAGGCAGUGUUGUCGUCCCUACCAGUAGACUGAAUGACCAGACCAGACCAGGCAGUGUUGUCUUCCCUACCAGUAGACUGAAUGACCAGACCAGACCAGGCAGUGUUGUCUUCCCUACCAGUAGACUGAAUGACCAGACCAGGCAGUGUUGUCUUCCCUACCAGUAGACUGAAUGACCAGACCAGGCAGUGUUGUCUUCCCUACGAGUAGACUGAAUGACCAGACCAGACCAGGCAGUGUUGUCUUCCCUACCAGUAGACUGAAUGACCAGACCAGACCAGACCAGGCAGUGUUGUCUUCCCUACCAGUAGACUGAAUGACCAGACCAGACCAGGCAGUGCUCCCAGUGUAUCUGGACCAGGGACUAUUUGGCCUCAGUGACUGGCCUCUGCGGUGUUACCAUCAGUUUUGGACUAUAUAAACUGUAUUCGGACUGACUGACCAGCUCCAGUGAUCCUCCCUCCUUCCAUCCCAGCAGAAAACAUGACCCCUCAGACCCUUUAAACUCAGAC